GACGUAGGGGGCGAGCGUUGUCCGGAUUUACUGGGCGUAAAGAGCGCGUAGGCGGUUAACUAAGUCAGGUGUGAAAUCUCCAGGGCUCAACCCGGAAACUGCAUUUGAUACUGGCUAACUUGAGUGUCGGAGAGGUAACUGGAAUUCCUGGUGUAGCGGUGACAUGCAUUGAUAUCAGGAGGAACACCCAUGGCGAAGGCAGGUUACUGGCCGACAACUGACGCUGAGGCGCGAAAGCGUGGGUAGCAAACAGA
RNAcentral lists this ribosomal RNA (254 nucleotides) under uncultured bacterium. RNAcentral's name for it is "partial 16S ribosomal RNA". It matches the Rfam family "Bacterial small subunit ribosomal RNA", at positions 524 to 776 of the family's 1533-position model. RNAcentral also lists the same sequence under 1 other name. The record is from RNAcentral.